Molecule: ribosomal RNA, 402 nt
Filed under: uncultured Salpingoecidae
Lineage: Eukaryota; Choanoflagellata; Craspedida; Salpingoecidae
Description: partial small subunit ribosomal RNA
Rfam family: Eukaryotic small subunit ribosomal RNA
Source: RNAcentral
GCUUGUCUCAAAGAUUAAGCCAUGCAUGUCUAAGUAUAAGCAACCUUAUACAGCGAAACUGCGUACAGCUCAUUAUAUCAGCAAUUAUUUAUUUGAAGAUCACCUAUUACAUGGAUAACCGUAGUAAUUCUAGAGCUAAUACAUGCGAAAAGACGCGACUCACGAAGCGUUGUAUUUAUUAGAUACAAAACCAAUGCGGGGCAACCCGGUAUAAGGUGAUUCAUAAUAACUUUGCGAAUCGCAUGGCCUUGCGCCGGCGAUGAAUCAUUCAAAUUUCUGCCCUAUCAACUUUCGAUGGUAAGGUAUUGGCUUACCAUGGUCGCAACGGGUAACGGGGAAUAAGGGUUCGGUUCCGGAGAGGGAGCCUGAGAAAUGGCUACCACAUCCAAGGAAGGCAGCAGG